RNAcentral lists this transfer RNA (71 nucleotides) under Bos taurus (domestic cattle). It matches the Rfam family "tRNA". Rfam says of the family: Transfer RNA (tRNA) molecules are approximately 80 nucleotides in length. Their secondary structure includes four short double-helical elements and three loops (D, anti-codon, and T loops). Lineage: Eukaryota; Metazoa; Chordata; Mammalia; Artiodactyla; Bovidae. RNAcentral also lists the same sequence under 2 other names. The record is from Rfam by way of RNAcentral.
UCCCAGUGGCUCAGAGGGUAAACCGUCUAUCUGCAAUGCAGGAGACCCAGGUUCGAUUCCUGGAUUGGGAA